UAGCCAUGAUGUGGGCACACACUUAGAAGAUCCUUAAACCUCUCCUAGCAUUGGAAAGAGGUUUCUUCCUCUUUCUGCAAGAAAUUCAUAAUAACUCUUCUAAGGGU
Magnolia sinica is the source of this 107-nucleotide small nucleolar RNA. The record is from RefSeq and is a predicted model, not a curated record. Lineage: Eukaryota; Viridiplantae; Streptophyta; Magnoliopsida; Magnoliales; Magnoliaceae.